UAACGUCCGCGCAAACCAAUCUGACAAGCAUCUCAUUUUCAUGGAGUGCUCUGCAUUUUUUCCAAAGUAUGAUUCUGCAUUUGAUAGCAUGACUUCGAUGUCAUGUUUCACUGCCUCCAGAGUUCGAUAGUAGUUGUUCUCUAACCUUAACUGGAUCACUUCAAGAGAGAAGGGAACUGGGUACCUGUUUGUAAAAUUGGUCUUCUGAGACACUUGCCUCAAUUUCUCAACCCCAUACUGAUCCUGUAUUUUUUUGCCAGAUUGCUUUAAUUUGGCCAAGGAAGAAAUCAGCUUGUUUCUAAUCUCAUCAUCAAUAUGAGGCUGCUCC
Molecule: unclassified non-coding RNA, 328 nt
Filed under: Hevea brasiliensis (rubber tree)
Lineage: Eukaryota; Viridiplantae; Streptophyta; Magnoliopsida; Malpighiales; Euphorbiaceae
Source: RNAcentral